Molecule: unclassified non-coding RNA, 467 nt
Filed under: uncultured Glomus
Lineage: Eukaryota; Fungi; Glomeromycota; Glomeromycetes; Glomerales; Glomeraceae
Description: SSU rRNA
Rfam family: Eukaryotic small subunit ribosomal RNA
Source: RNAcentral
AGCAGCCGCGGUAAUUCCAGCUCCAAUAGCGUAUAUUAAAGUUGUUGCAGUUAAAAGCUCGUAGUUGAAUUUCGGGGUUAGCAAGUUGGUCGUGCCACUGGUAUGUACUGGCUUUGCUGAUUCCUCCUUCUUGUAGAACCGUAAUGCCAUUUAGUUGGUGUUGCGGGGAAACAGGACUGUUACUUUGAAAAAUUGAGUGUUUAAGGCAGGCUAACGCCUGAAUACAUUAGCAUGGAAUAAUGAAAUAGGACGAGCGAUCCUAUUUUGUUGGUUUCUAGGAUUGACGUAAUGAUUAAUAGGGAUAGUUGGGGGCAUUAGUAUUCAAUUGUCAGAGGUGAAAUUCUUGGAUUUAUUGAAGACUGACUACUGCGAAAGCAUUUGCCAAGGAUGUUUUCAUUAAUCAAGAACGAAAGUUAGGGAUCGAAGACGAUCAGAUACCGUCGUAGUCUUAACCAUAAACUAUGCCG